This 406-nucleotide ribosomal RNA is filed under the name uncultured bacterium. RNAcentral's name for it is "partial 16S ribosomal RNA". It matches the Rfam family "Bacterial small subunit ribosomal RNA", at positions 30 to 526 of the family's 1533-position model. The record is from RNAcentral.
AUUGAACGCUGGCGGCAGGCUUAACACAUGCAAGUCGAACGAGUGGCGGACGGGUGAGUAAUGAUUGGGAAUCUGGCUUAUGGAGGGGGAUAACGACGGGAAACUGUCGCUACUACCGCGUACCAUAGGUUGAGCCCAAGUGGGAUUAGGUAGUUGGUGGGGUAACGGCCGACCAAGCCGACGAUCUCUAGCUGGUCUGAGAGGAUGAGCAGCCACACUGGGACUGAGACACGGCCCAGACUCCUACGGGAGGCAGCAGUGGGGAAUAUUGCGCAAUGGAGGCAAGCCUGACGCAGCCACGCCGCGUGAAUGAAGAAGGCCUUCGGGUUGUAAAGCUCUUUUGGUGGCGAGGCGUUAAUCACAGAAGAAGCACCGGCUAACUCCGUGCCAGCAGCCGCGGUAAUUC